This 564-nucleotide ribosomal RNA is filed under the name uncultured Actinomycetes bacterium. RNAcentral describes it as "bacterial SSU rRNA". It matches the Rfam family "Bacterial small subunit ribosomal RNA", at positions 338 to 916 of the family's 1533-position model. The record is from RNAcentral. Lineage: Bacteria; Bacillati; Actinomycetota; Actinomycetes.
CCUACGGGAGGCAGCAGUGGGGAAUCUUGCGCAAUGGGCGAAAGCCUGACGCAGCAACGCCGCGUGCGGGAAGAAGGCCUUCGGGUUGUAAACCGCUUUCAGCAGGAACGAAAAUGACGGUACCUGCAGAAGAAGGUGCGGCCAACUACGUGCCAGCAGCCGCGGUGACACGUAGGCACCAAGCGUUGUCCGGAUUUAUUGGGCGUAAAGAGCUCGUAGGCGGUUCAGUAAGUCGGGUGUGAAAACUCUGGGCUUAACCCAGAGCCUGCACCCGAAACUGCUGUGACUAGAGUUCGGUAGGGGAGCGGGGAAUUCCUGGUGUAGCGGUGAAAUGCGCAGAUAUCAGGAGGAACACCGGUGGCGAAGGCGCCGCUCUGGGCCGACACUGACGCUGAGGAGCGAAAGCGUGGGUAGCAAACAGGAUUAGAUACCCUGGUAGUCCACGCCGUAAACGUUGGGCGCUAGGUGUGGGUCUCAACCAACGAGAUCCGCGCCGUCGCUAACGCAUUAAGUGCCCCGCCUGGGGAGUACGGUCGCAAGACUAAAACUCAAAGGAAUUGACGG